This 253-nucleotide ribosomal RNA is filed under the name uncultured prokaryote. RNAcentral describes it as "partial 16S ribosomal RNA". It matches the Rfam family "Bacterial small subunit ribosomal RNA", at positions 525 to 777 of the family's 1533-position model. The record is from RNAcentral.
ACGGAGGGUGCAAGCGUUAUCCGGAUUCACUGGGUUUAAAGCGUGCGCAGGCGGUUCGUUGUGUCGGUGGUGAAAGCCCCGGGCUUCACCUGGGAAUGGCCAUGGAAACUGGCGAACUGGAGUGUGGCAGAGGGGGGUGGAAUUCCGCGUGUAGCAGUGAAAUGCGUAGAGAUGCCGAGGAACACCGAUGGCGAAGGCAGCCCCCUGGGCUAGCACUGACGCUCAGGCACGAAAGCGUGGGGAGCAAACAGGA